Molecule: RNA transcript, 2773 nt
Organism: Rhododendron vialii
Lineage: Eukaryota; Viridiplantae; Streptophyta; Magnoliopsida; Ericales; Ericaceae
Gene name: protein FAR1-RELATED SEQUENCE 5-like
Exons: 3
Source: RefSeq, a predicted model, not a curated record
AAGGAUUCACGAACCCAGCCUCGGGAGGCCAGUGAAAUUUACACUAUCGAAAUAGGCCUACCGCCUACCCUUCCCCCUUUUGUUUUGAUUUGGCGCUCUCCUAUACUUUCUAGGGUUCUAAAGUUCUCUCAUAACCUUUUCAGUCCACGAUCGUGUGCCUGAAGGAUUCCCGAACCCAGCCUUCUCACUCGCACUCGUUCGAUCCAGACUUGAUAUGGCAUCAUCCAGCAAUGCUGCUGAUAUCGUUUUGCGCAAUGAUUGUUCGGAACCAGAAUCGGUGGAUGAUCCAGACGCUUUAGACCUGAUACAAAAUGAAACACCGCAACCUGCCAAGUCUUUUGUAUAUAGCGGUCCAGUAGAGCCAUGUGAAGGCAUGGUGUUUGAUGAAUUGGAAGAUGCCGAGACUUGUUACAAGGCAUAUGCAAGGCGGAAGGGGUUUAGCAUUCGGAAAAGUCAUACUCGACUGUCUAAUAAGGAUAAGUCACUAAUCGGAGUGGAAUUUUCUUGUAGUAGGGAAGGAUAUCAUCGUCCGAGCUAUCGCAAGAAGUAUAAGAAUUUUGAAAAUCGUGCUGAGACCAUGAUAGGAUGUAAAGCAUUGAUGCGUUUGAGAAAAGAUGAAGGAAAAUGGGUUGUAAGCAAGUUUUUAGUUGACCACAAUCAUGAACUAUGUUCUCCAGAAAGUACACCUUUGCUUCCAGGUCAUAGAAAAAUUACCCGUGCUCAGAAAAAUCUUCUUGAUGUGCUUAAUGUUUCUGGAAUAGCCCCCACAAAGAUUAUGUCCGUGUUAAGGGAAUCUGGUGUUGACCCUAAUGUUGGUUGUGCUAGAAAGGAUGCUCUAAAUUAUUUGGGAAUUAAAAGGAGGAAGCUUGUGGAAGACGGAGAUGCUCAAAGAAUGUACAACUUCUUCGUACAAAGCCAAUCAGAGAACCCGGAUUUUUUUUAUGCAGUUCAAAGGGAUGAAGAUAAUUCUAUGGGAAACUGUUUUUGGGUUGAUGGAAGGUCCAGGCUGGCGUUCCAAUACUUUGGUGACGUAGUUUGUUUUGAUGCUACAUACUUCAGUAAUCGCUAUGAUAUGCCUUUUGCUCCUUUUGUAGGAGUCAAUCAUCAUCAACUCUCAGUCAUGUUUGGGUGUGCUUUACUUGUCAAUAAGUCCAGAGAGUCUUAUGUAUGGCUAUUUAAAGCUUGGUUUGAUGCAAUGGGUGGACGUUCUCCAUCGGUUAUCAUAACCGAUGAUGACAAAGGCAUGGCCGAGGCUAUUGCUCAGGUAUUACCUAACACUACUCACCGUUUGUGCAUGUGGCAUGUCUUGCGAAAAGCUCCUCAACUUUUGACUCAUGUAUAUAUCAACUAUCCCUUGUUUCAAGGGGAGUUUGACCAUUGCAUUCAUGAUACGGUCACAAUAGAAGAGUUUGAAAAUGAAUGGAAAGAAUUGAUUGCAAAAUAUGCGCUAGGGGAUGUGGACUGGUUGAAAGACUUGUACGUGCAGCGUGAAAAAUGGGUUCCAGCUUACUUACGGACAAUGUUUUGUGCCGGGAUGUUAACAACAAAAAGAAGCGAGAGUAUGCACAGAUUCUUCAAGGAUUUUGUCCCUUCUUGUACAUUUGUAAGUGACUUUGUUCAUCAGUACGAGAAAGCCUUGGAUGAAAGAUACCAAAGUGAAAAGGAAAGAGAUGUGGAAACAAGAACUGCCAAAGCAAUUUUGAAGACAUGUUACAAAAUUGAGGCAGAGGCAGCAAAAGUUUACUCUAGGAAAAGUUUUUUGUUAUUCCAAGAAGAAUUAUUUUCAAGCCAAAAGCACAAGGCAUGUAGAUAUCGGGAGGAAGGAACAAUAAAGACGUAUAGAGUAUUGCCAUAUGGUAAACCAGAACCAAUGUACGAAGUAGUAUUUGAUGGUGUUGAAAAGAAAGCGACUUGUUCAUGCCAUAUGUUCGAAUUUGUUGGAAUUGUUUGUCGUCACAUUCUUGCAGUUUUCGUGAAAAAAAAUGUUGUCGAUUGUCUUCCUCAACGAUAUGUUCUUCAAAGAUGGACAAUGAAUGCAAUGCGUCAUGGUGCGCACGAAAUACAAGGGCCACAAAUUUCUCCCACCUUGAUGAGGAACAGUUUGAUGAUCGAGUUUUUGAAAGUCGUUGAAGAAGGUCAAAAAUCACAAAGGAAACAUCAUCAUCUAACAGUUGCUUUACGAAAGGCGCACAGUGAACUUCUAGCCAUGGAUGAUGAAUGUUGGAACUUCUAGUGUUUGUAAUGUAUGAUCUGGAUGAAGGGGAUUGAUGUGUAUUGUUGUACUCGGUGGCUAUUUGGUGGAUAUGGUGUAUGAUAUUGGAUUUCUUUAUUUGAGACUCAAAUGCAUGUCAUAUUCUGCAGUUCUCUAAGAAAAGAGCCGCAAAGAAAGAAGUACCCUCAGUUUGUGAUGCUAAGUCUGCUUCACUGAUUUCCACAGCUGCCUAAUGGAUUAACAGUUCGAAAACUGAGUGUCUGUGUAUUUAGGUAUGUAAAUUGUGUGUAUCUGGCAAUAGGUAAUUGAUUUUCACACUCCUCUUUUUUAUAAUCACACAUUUUUUUUGGGGGUCAUUUUGUGAUGUGAAUUUACAAAAUUAAUGUAUACUCUUUCUCACUUGAGAGGACGAGAUUGUAAAUUUACAUUACAAGAAGGAAGUGUGGUUACAAAAAAGGUGAGUGUGAAAAUCAGUAUCCCUAGCAAAACUCUAAAACGGCUUCCCGUGUUCCUGUGUAAUCGGCUUUCUUCGUUUAUGGAAAUCUCCCUUUUCCCGUGGUA